UGCAACAAGCGCUUCGCAUCCACCCGCGCCAAGUGUUUCGCCCUGGAGACGGGAAGCAGCUGCUGCUUUUUCCUGCAUAGUCUUUUCCUGUCCAUCUCCCUCAUUCUUUGGGAAAGAACGCUGCAGAGACUACUCUCAGUCGGUACUUGUCAAGAUGUUGGGCUUGCAACAAUCAAUAGCAGGAUAACACCAGGUAUGUGUGAGACA
Molecule: long non-coding RNA, 207 nt
Filed under: Chrysemys picta bellii (western painted turtle)
Lineage: Eukaryota; Metazoa; Chordata; Testudines; Emydidae
Description: lncRNA (ENSCPBG00000000564.1)
Source: RNAcentral